RNAcentral lists this ribosomal RNA (253 nucleotides) under uncultured bacterium. RNAcentral's name for it is "partial 16S ribosomal RNA". It matches the Rfam family "Bacterial small subunit ribosomal RNA", at positions 524 to 776 of the family's 1533-position model. The record is from RNAcentral.
UACGAAGGGGACUAGCGUUGUUCGGAAUUACUGGGCGUAAAGCGCACGUAGGCGGAUUUGUAAGCCAGAUGUGAAAUCCCCGGGCUUAACCUGGGAAUGGCAUUUGGGACUGCAAGGCUGGAGUGCGGCAGAGGAGACUGGAAUUCCUGGUGUAGCAGUGAAAUGCGUAGAUAUCAGGAGGAACACCGAUGGCGAAGGCAGGUCUCUGGGCUGACACUGACGCUCAUGCACGAAAGCGUGGGGAGCAAACAGG